CCAAUAAUUUUUUAUUACCCGCCCAUUAUUCCCUCUUCUUCCCGUUUCUAUCGCGUGCCCUAAAUCCCUCAAGUAAAAGUUUGUACUUAAUUCUUUUUCCUUUUACUCUGAAAAUUUGCCCCCAAAUUUCCCAUUUCCAACAACACCAAAUGUCUGAGGACGACGAGAGUCAGCAAUCUCCGCCGUCGAAUCUUCUUCCCUAAUAGAAAAACUAUAAACUCUUUUUUGCGUGUGUAUGAACUAAAUUUUUUUGUCAAUAAAUGAAAUUCUUUGAAGAUAAUACAAUCUUUUAUAAAAAUUUAUUUCCGAAUUAGGGCUCUUGAUUUCUUUCUCUGUCUGCAAAUUGGUCGAAUUUUAUUUUUGUUUUUAUUUGAAGUUGAAGGAAAAGCAUAGCAUUUGGCGUACAAGUGAUAACUCACAAUUUUCUUAUGUAUUUAGUUCCCUACUUUUUUAAGCCAACCAUUUUGCUUCAGAAUCUCUUUGCGUUGGGAACCUUUUCAAAGUUCUUACGCCUUUUUGGCCUCUGAUAUUUGCCCAGCCAAGUCAGUAUAUCAAUACCCUUCUGGUGCCCAAAGAUGGUGAAAUUCCCAUAGACAUCCAAAGUUUAUCUUCACAAGGAAUCUUUGACGUGUUUUCAGGGACAGUUGCUCCCACUACAGCUUGAAUACCAGGAAAUGCAAGUUUGGGGUGGAAUUGAGCAAAGGCUUCAGAACUGUGAUUUCGAGUUGAGUUAUGCAUUGGCUUUCUCAAACGAUCUCGCCAGCAAAAGGAAAUUACAAGGGAACAAGCAGUUCAAGAUCUGAAGUUUGUUGAGAAGGAUUAUAAGUUAGCUGAUACGGUUAUUAGAGGGUUGUUGAAGUAUUGGCCUUUGACUAAUUGUCGGAAGGAAGUUCUCUUC
Long non-coding RNA from Gossypium arboreum, 898 nucleotides. RefSeq lists it as uncharacterized. The record is from RefSeq and is a predicted model, not a curated record. The transcript is spliced from 5 exons. NCBI's taxonomy places the organism in Eukaryota, Viridiplantae, Streptophyta, Magnoliopsida, Malvales, Malvaceae.